CAGCCGCCGCGGUAACACGUAGGUGGCAAGCGUUGUCCGGAAUUAUUGGGCGUAAAGCGCGCGCAGGUGGUUUAAUAAGUCUGAUGUGAAAGCCCACGGCUCAACCGUGGAGGGUCAUUGGAAACUGUUAAACUUGAGUGCAGGAGAGAAAAGUGGAAUUCCUAGUGUAGCGGUGAAAUGCGUAGAGAUUAGGAGGAACACCAGUGGCGAAGGCGGCUUUUUGGCCUGUAACUGACACUGAGGCGCGAAAGCGUGGGGAGCAAACAGGAUUAGAUACCCCGGUAGUCCCUGUCUCUUAUGC
Molecule: ribosomal RNA, 301 nt
Filed under: uncultured bacterium
Lineage: Bacteria
Description: partial 16S ribosomal RNA
Rfam family: Bacterial small subunit ribosomal RNA
Source: RNAcentral